This 1441-nucleotide ribosomal RNA is filed under the name uncultured organism. RNAcentral's name for it is "SSU rRNA". It matches the Rfam family "Bacterial small subunit ribosomal RNA". The record is from RNAcentral.
GGCUCAGGAUGAACGCUAGCUACAGGCUUAACACAUGCAAGUCGAGGGGCAUCAGGAAGAAAGCUUGCUUUCUUUGCUGGCGACCGGCGCACGGGUGAGUAACACGUAUCCAACCUGCCCUUUACUCGGGGAUAGCCUUUCGAAAGAAAGAUUAAUACCCGAUAGCAUAAUGAUUCCGCAUGGUUUCAUUAUUAAAGGAUUCCGGUAAAGGAUGGGGAUGCGUUCCAUUAGGUUGUUGGUGAGGUAACGGCCCACCAAGCCUUCGAUGGAUAGGGGUUCUGAGAGGAAGGUCCCCCACAUUGGAACUGAGACACGGUCCAAACUCCUACGGGAGGCAGCAGUGAGGAAUAUUGGUCAAUGGGCGCUAGCCUGAACCAGCCAAGUAGCGUGAAGGAUGAAGGCUCUAUGGGUCGUAAACUUCUUUUAUAUAAGAAUAAAGUGCAGUAUGUAUACUGUUUUGUAUGUAUUAUAUGAAUAAGGAUCGGCUAACUCCGUGCCAGCAGCCGCGGUAAUACGGAGGAUCCGAGCGUUAUCCGGAUUUAUUGGGUUUAAAGGGAGCGUAGGUGGACUGGUAAGUCAGUUGUGAAAGUUUGCGGCUCAACCGUAAAAUUGCAGUUGAUACUGUCAGUCUUGAGUACAGUAGAGGUGGGCGGAAUUCGUGGUGUAGCGGUGAAAUGCUUAGAUAUCACGAAGAACUCCGAUUGCGAAGGCAGCUCACUGGACUGCAACUGACACUGAUGCUCGAAAGUGUGGGUAUCAAACAGGAUUAGAUACCCUGGUAGUCCACACAGUAAACGAUGAAUACUCGCUGUUUGCGAUAUACAGUAAGCGGCCAAGCGAAAGCAUUAAGUAUUCCACCUGGGGAGUACGCCGGCAACGGUGAAACUCAAAGGAAUUGACGGGGGCCCGCACAAGCGGAGGAACAUGUGGUUUAAUUCGAUGAUACGCGAGGAACCUUACCCGGGCUUAAAUUGCAGUGGAAUGAUGUGGAAACAUGUCAGUGAGCAAUCACCGCUGUGAAGGUGCUGCAUGGUUGUCGUCAGCUCGUGCCGUGAGGUGUCGGCUUAAGUGCCAUAACGAGCGCAACCCUUAUCUUUAGUUACUAACAGGUUAUGCUGAGGACUCUAGAGAGACUGCCGUCGUAAGAUGUGAGGAAGGUGGGGAUGACGUCAAAUCAGCACGGCCCUUACGUCCGGGGCUACACACGUGUUACAAUGGGGGGUACAGAAGGCAGCUAGCGGGUGACCGUAUGCUAAUCCCAAAAUCCUCUCUCAGUUCGGAUCGAAGUCUGCAACCCGACUUCGUGAAGCUGGAUUCGCUAGUAAUCGCGCAUCAGCCACGGCGCGGUGAAUACGUUCCCGGGCCUUGUACACACCGCCCGUCAAGCCAUGGGAGCCGGGGGUACCUGAAGUACGUAACCGCAAGGAUCGUCCUAGGGUAA